RNAcentral lists this ribosomal RNA (99 nucleotides) under uncultured bacterium. Its description in RNAcentral is "partial 16S ribosomal RNA". It matches the Rfam family "Bacterial small subunit ribosomal RNA", at positions 1384 to 1482 of the family's 1533-position model. The record is from RNAcentral.
UACACACCGCCCGUCACACCAUGGGAGUUUGUUGCACCAGAAGUAGGUAGCUUAACCGCAAGGGGGGCGCUUGCCACGGUGUGGCCGAUGACUGGGGUG